RNAcentral lists this ribosomal RNA (612 nucleotides) under Rasamsonia emersonii. RNAcentral describes it as "eukaryotic LSU rRNA". It matches the Rfam family "Eukaryotic large subunit ribosomal RNA", at positions 40 to 667 of the family's 3401-position model. Lineage: Eukaryota; Fungi; Ascomycota; Eurotiomycetes; Eurotiales; Trichocomaceae. The record is from RNAcentral.
AUAUCAAUAAGCGGAGGAAAAGAAACCAACAGGGAUUGCCUCAGUAACGGCGAGUGAAGCGGCAAGAGCUCAAAUUUGAAAUCUGGCCCCUUCGGGGUCCGAGUUGUAAUUUGGAGAGGAUGCUUCGGGUACGGCCCCCGUCUAAGUGCCCUGGAACGGGCCGUCAUAGAGGGUGAGAAUCCCGUCUGGGACGGGUGGCCGGGCCCGUGUGAAGCUCCUUCGACGAGUCGAGUUGUUUGGGAAUGCAGCUCUAAAUGGGUGGUAAAUUUCAUCUAAAGCUAAAUAUUGGCCGGAGACCGAUAGCGAACAAGUAGAGUGAUCGAAAGAUGAAAAGCACUUUGAAAAGAGAGUUAAACAGCACGUGAAAUUGUUGAAAGGGAAGCGCUUGCGACCAGACUCGCCCGGGGAGGCUCAGCCGGCACUCGUGCCGGUGCAUUCCCCCCCGGGCGGGCCAGCGUCGGUUUGGGCGGUCGGUCAAAGGCCCCCGGAAUGUGUCGCCCUCCGGGGCGUCUUAUAGCCGGGGGUGCAAUGCGGCCAGCCUGGACCGAGGAACGCGCUUCGGCUCGGACGCUGGCGUAAUGGUCGUAAACGACCCGUCUUGAAACACGGACC